AACGCGAAGAACCUUACCUGGGCUCGAAAUGCUAUGGACCGGGGUAGAAAUAUCCCUUCCCCGCAAGGGGCCGUAGUAUAGGUGCUGCAUGGCUGUCGUCAGCUCGUGUCGUGAGAUGUUGGGUUAAGUCCCGCAACGAGCGCAACCCUUACUUCCAGUUGCCAUCAUUUAGUUGGGCACUCUGGCAGAACCGCCUCGGAUAACGGGGAGGAAGGUGGGGAUGACGUCAAGUCCUCAUGGCCUUUAUGUCCAGGGCUACACACGUGCUACAAUGGCCGGUACAAACCGUCGCAAACCCGCGAGGGGGAGCUAAUCGGAGAAAGCCGGCCUCAGUUCGGAUUGCAGUCUGCAACUCGACUGCAUGAAGCUGGAAUCGCUAGUAAUCGCGGAUCAGAACGCCGCGGUGAAUACGUUCCCGGGCCUUGUACACACCGAUAGC
This 439-nucleotide ribosomal RNA is filed under the name uncultured bacterium. Its description in RNAcentral is "bacterial SSU rRNA". It matches the Rfam family "Bacterial small subunit ribosomal RNA", at positions 958 to 1397 of the family's 1533-position model. The record is from RNAcentral.